AUUGAACGCUGGCGGCAGGCCUAACACAUGCAAGUCGAACGGUAACAGGAAGAAGCUUGCUUCUUUGCUGACGAGUGGCGGACGGGUGAGUAAUGUCUGGGAAACUGCCUGAUGGAGGGGGAUAACUACUGGAAACGGUAGCUAAUACCGCAUAACGUCGCAAGACCAAAGAGGGGGACCUUCGGGCCUCUUGCCAUCGGAUGUGCCCAGAUGGGAUUAGCUAGUAGGUGGGGUAACGGCUCACCUAGGCGACGAUCCCUAGCUGGUCUGAGAGGAUGACCGGCCACACUGGAACUGAGACACGGUCCAGGCUCCUACGGGAGGCAGCAGUGGGGAAUAUUGCACAAUGGGCGCAAGCCUGAUGCAGCCAUGCCGCGUGUAUGAAGAAGGCCUUCGGGUUGUAAAGUACUUUCAGCGGGGAGGAAGGGAGUAAAGUUAAUACCUUUACUCAUUGACGUUACCCGCAGAAGAAGCACCGGCUAACUCCGUG
This 490-nucleotide ribosomal RNA is filed under the name uncultured bacterium. Its description in RNAcentral is "partial 16S ribosomal RNA". It matches the Rfam family "Bacterial small subunit ribosomal RNA", at positions 30 to 507 of the family's 1533-position model. The record is from RNAcentral.